UUAGAGUUUGAUCAUGGCUCAGGACGAACGCUGGCGGCGUGCCUAAUACAUGCAAGUCGAACGAGGCUUUUUGAUUGAUGCUUGCAUCAGCUAAAAAGCCGAGUGGCGAAUGGGUGAGUAACACGUGGGUAACCUGCCUUGAAGCGGGGGAUAACAUUUGGAAACAGAUGCUAAUACCGCAUAACCACAAAAGCCCCCUGGUUUUUGUGUCAAAGAUGGUUCUGCUAUCACUUCAAGAUGGACCCGCGGCGUAUUAGCUUGUUGGUGAGGUAACGGCUCACCAAGGCAAUGAUACGUAGCCGAACUGAGAGGUUGAUCGGCCACAUUGGGACUGAGACACGGCCCAAACUCCUACGGGAGGCAGCAGUAGGGAAUCUUCCACAAUGGACGCAGGUCUGAUGGAGCAACGCCGCGUGAGUGAAGAAGGUCUUCGGAUCGUAAAACUCUGUUGUCAGAGAAGAACGUGCGUGAGAGCAACUGUUCAUGCAGUGACGGUAUCUGAUCAGGAAGUCACGGCUAACUACGUGCCAGCAGCCGCGGUAAUACGUAGGUGGCAAGCGUUGUCCGGAUUUAUUGGGCGUAAAGGGAACGCAGGCGGUCUUUUAAGUCUGAUGUGAAAGCCUUCGGCUUAACCGAAGUCGUGCAUUGGAAACUGGGGGACUUGAGUGCAGAAGAGGAGAGUGGAACUCCAUGUGUAGCGGUGAAAUGCGUAGAUAUAUGGAAGAACACCAGUGGCGAAAGCGGCUCUCUGGUCUGUAACUGACGCUGAGGUUCGAAAGCGUGGGUAGCAAACAGGAUUAGAUACCCUGGUAGUCCACGCCGUAAACGAUGAAUGCUAAGUGUUUGGAGGGUUUCCGCCCUUCAGUGCCGCAACUAACGCAUUA
RNAcentral lists this ribosomal RNA (884 nucleotides) under uncultured bacterium. RNAcentral's name for it is "bacterial SSU rRNA". It matches the Rfam family "Bacterial small subunit ribosomal RNA", at positions 1 to 862 of the family's 1533-position model. The record is from RNAcentral.